Molecule: ribosomal RNA, 494 nt
Filed under: uncultured bacterium
Lineage: Bacteria
Description: bacterial SSU rRNA
Rfam family: Bacterial small subunit ribosomal RNA
Source: RNAcentral
AAAUGAAUAGACGGGCACCCGCACAAGCGGUGGAGCAUGCUAUUUAAUUCGACGCUACGCGAAGAACCUUACCUGGACUUGACAUCCCAUUGACCGAUUAAGAAAUUAAUCUUUCCUUUCGGGGACAAUGGUGACAGGUGGUGCAUGGUUGUCGUCAGCUCGUGUCGUGAGAUGUUUGGUUAAGUCCAAUAACGAGCGCAACCCUCAUCCUUAAUUGCUAACAUUUAGUUGAGAACCUUAAGGAAACUAUCGGUAAUAAACCGGAGGAAGGUGGGGAUGACGUCAAAUCAUCAUGCCCCUUAUGUCCAGGGCUAUAGGCGUGCUACAAUGGCCAAUAUAAUAAGUUGCAAUACCGUGAGGUGGAGCAAAUCUCUAAAGUUGGUCUCAGUCCGGAUUGGAGUCUGCAACUCGACUCCAUGAAGUAGGAAUCGCUAGUAAUCGUGAAUCAGAAUGUCACGGUGAAUACGUUCCCGGGUGUUGUACACACCGCCCGU